GUGCUCUCUUUGUCAACACAUAUACUAAAAUUGGAAUGGUACAGAGAAGAUUAGCAUGGCCUUGAACAAGGAUGACACACAUAUUCAUGAAGCAGUCCAUAAUUUU
This 106-nucleotide small nuclear RNA is filed under the name Saimiri boliviensis boliviensis (Bolivian squirrel monkey). The record is from RNAcentral. Lineage: Eukaryota; Metazoa; Chordata; Mammalia; Primates; Cebidae.